RNAcentral lists this long non-coding RNA (4395 nucleotides) under Cucumis sativus (cucumber). RNAcentral's name for it is "long non-coding RNA (CSAT_LNC002997)". The record is from RNAcentral. Lineage: Eukaryota; Viridiplantae; Streptophyta; Magnoliopsida; Cucurbitales; Cucurbitaceae.
UUUAUUGGGAUGUAUACCUUGUAGGUGUCCCUCGGGAUCACCAAUUUAUUUUGCACCUUCGGGAGCAUUAGACUGAUAUGUGUUUCUGCAGAACACUAGACUGAUAUGUACGUCCUUCGGGGCGAUAGACUGAGAUGUGUAUCCUACGGGAUCACAAGACUGUGACUGUACAGGGUGUCCCAAUAGAUCGUUAAUAAUUUAUUUUCCCCUGACGGGACCAGUAGAGGGUCUCUUACUGAGUAUUUAAAUACUCACCCUUCUUAUGUUUAAUUUUCAGGCAAAGGUAAUAAAGGCGGCAAACAGGCGAGGGGCAGGAAGGAAGCGUGAUGCCAUAGGAAACGUGUUUUUGCUUCCGCUUAUGGGUUCUUGUGAGGUUUAAAAUGAAUUGAAAUUUAGUUUACAAACGUUUGUUGUAAAUAGUAUUAUUUUAGGUUUUCUUGAAUGUUUAAAAAUCAGGCCUGACUUGAAGAUGUUUUUUUUUAAAAUUGCUUACGUUUUGUUUUAUAUUAAUCAAAGUCUUUUAUUUGUUAAAAAUUAACGAUCUCGACUUACUUAAAAAGUUGGGUCGUUACAAAACAGAUUCAAUUGGAUGGAUAAGUAGAAUUAUGAACAUGACCGUUCAUUGACUACUAGUUGUCAUAUGUAACCUUCUUCAACAGUAAUUGACAGUUGCUUGAUAGAUGAGUUCAGGUUCAUGUCUACUGAUCGUUUCAUUCCGAAAGCAAUUGUGCAUAAGGCAUGUACAAAUCUUGGAGUUAAUAUAAGUUAGCAGAAAGCUUGGAGGGCAAAAGAACACAUAGUAAAGAUAUUAAAAGGUGACACAGUUAAAUCAUACAUGUUGAUUCCAAGGUUCUUUGAUUGAUAAAUUGGUUGAAUCUAUCUCAGGUAUAAUGAGUUUCAUAUAUAGAAUGAUGACAUCAAAUUGUGUAGACAGUGUAAAUUUAGUUUUUAAAGAUCUUAGAGAACUACCUGUAGCUACCAUGCUUAGUUCAAUUAGAGAUGUAUUGCAAAAGUGGUUUGAUGAAAGAAGUAAAGCUACUUUUACAAUGAAGAGUUGUUUGACUUCUUGGGCUGAGAACGUGUUGCAUUUAGAAUAAAGUCAAGAAUUUUAUUGGUAAGGUUUUUUUUUUUUUUAAUGUUUGUAUCUCAGGUAGAUAUAAAUAGACUGCUAUUUUUGUCUAUCGAUAGAGAAAUAUAACAAUUUAUGUGUGCUUGUUUCAGAUAGAUAGAGAUAGAUAGCUAUCAAUGUCUAUUUGUCUCUAUUUGUGCAUGCUUUUUUUUUUUUAAUUUUUCUAUAUUUGUUUUAUGUAUUAGGUUGAUCCAAUUAGUAUGACUAAAUACAAAGUAAUGGAUGAUACAAAAUGAUAAUGUGAUUUAUUUAUAUUGGUUCUAAUUUGAAAUAUUCAAAUUUAUUUUGAAAAUUAGUAUAAUUAGUAUAAUAUACAGUGAUACAUUAUAAUAUAAAGUUUAUAUGUUAAUGAAACUUUAUUAUAUAAAUUUAAUUUAGUUAUGAGAUAAAGUUAUAUUAGAAUAAGAUUCAAAUUUAACUUAAGUUAAAUAUAAAAUAUUUAAUUUAGUUAUUAAUUAAUUAAUAGUUUAGUUUAAUAUUAUUUAAUUAAAUUUGAUUUAAUUAAAUUAAUAUAAAACUAUAAGGUAUUAGAGAUAUUCAUUCAAUAAGAUUUAAAUGAAAUAUUAAUUAAAUAUGAUUUAAUUAAAUUAUUAACUAAUUGAUUAAUGGUUAAUUAGUUAGUUGAUUUGAAACUUCUAUUAAUUUAAUAUUUUUUAAGUUAAUAGAAUCCUAUGAUUUUCUCCUACCCCGUCUCCUACUCAAUGAAAGAAAGAGAGUUAUAAAUAUGUAGAAGAAAAACAGCUUUUCUUAACCAAAAUAAAAUCGAUGAUUUUCUUUUAUGCAAAAUAGAUUGUAACGACCUAAUUUUUCGAAUUAAGCUGAAGUUAUUACUUUAAGACUAGAUUCGUCCUUUAACCAUAAGACUUUAUAAUUUAAAAAAAAAUAUUUUUUAACAACAUUAAAGAGUUUUUAUUCGGGCUCUAUUUCAAAUAAAAUUUUGAAAGUGUAAAAGUAUCGAUAAUAAAGAAAGUUCAAGAACAUAAAAGUCGUUCAAUCAUGAAACCCAAAACAGUCUCAAUUACUAAAGAAAACCAAAAUAAAAAAUAAAUAAAGUAUGAGCAAUUUGAAGGACAUUUCCCUAUGGCAGUUUCGCGGAAAAAGAUUAAACAUAAAAGGGUGAGUAUAAACAUACCCAGUAAGAGACCCACUACUGAUCCUGUUAGAAGAAAAAUAAAAUUGUUAACUUCCUAUUGGAGGUGCCCUGCACUUUAAAAGUCUUGUGAUCAUGUAGAAAUACACAUAAUCAGUCCAAUGCCCUAAAGGACACAUAUAUUAGUCUAGUGCUCUUCAGAAAGCACAUGUAAGUCUAGUGCUUUUGAAGAAUGCACAUGUGAUUCUAGUGCUCUCGAAGAAUGCACAACAGGUGGUGAUCCCGUAGGACACCUGCAAGGCACACUACCCAAUCGACAAAGCUAACAAUUUUCCCUUAGUCCGUUAUAAACAUUUAAUCAAUCCAUUCCUAGUAUAGUCAAACUACAUCAUUGUAAAGCCCCAAAGGUAAAUAUAUAUAUAUAUAUACAUUUUUUUAUUUUUUAUAUAUUUUUAUUUAAUUUAAAUAAAAAUAAAAGAAAAAGAAAAUUCUUUAUUAUAUAUAUUUUUUCUUUUCUUUUUUCUUUUUUCUUUUCUUUUUCUUUUUCUUCUCUCUUCUCCUUCCUCCCCGUGCGCCCUUCCCCUUCUCUCCGUUCGCAGCCCAGCAACCGCCACCCCGAGACUUCUCUUCUUUCGUUUCUCUUUCUCUUUUCUUCUUCCGCCCAGCGCCGCGACCGACCCCCAUCCGUUCACAGCAACCGCCGACCUCCAUUCCUCUUCUCCUUCCGUUCGCAGCAAGGCGCCGACCAUCUCCCGCCGACCAUCUCCUUCUUCUCUUCUCCUCUCCGCUCCGUCCAAACCCAGCCUCACCGCCGCGUCUCCCCUACUGAAGCCGAACGCCCGAUCUGCCGUCUCCAUCUCCGGUUCGCGAAGCAACCUUGCAGCAGUCGUCCCGCGCGCCGAUCUGCCGUCUCCAUCGCCGGUUCUGUCUCCGUCGAAGCCACGGUUCUGCAACCGUCUCCGUCGGUUCUGUCUCCGUCGACCACGCUCCCCGCUCACAACCGCCGCUCCACCUGCUAUCAACGUCGGCCGACUAGUUGCUGUAACCGUUCAGAUUUGCUGUAACCGUUCAGAUUUGCUGUAACCGUUCAGAUUCGCGGUCUGUUCGCGACGGUCUCCAUCCGUGAAGCCCAGCCGCUACGUUCCCUUUGGCCGACCGCUGACCGACCCACACUUAGGAUUUUUGCUGCGAGUUCGACAUUCGUGCGUUGAGGUGUUGGGAGUAACGUUAGGCUCCCUUACAUUCACAACCCGUUUGUGAAUUGUUGAAGGUUCAGUUCGCCAAUAUAUCGGUGAGUUGGAACUUACGUUGAGGAAAGUAAGUGACAUAUGUAUCGUGAAAGUAAUUGAAUUUUGUAUUGUUAUGCUUAGGAUUGUUUUGAGGACGUUAGUUGAUUAAGGAGCUUCCCUAACUUUGAGGUAAGGGAAUUUUCUACUGGACUCACUUAUGACUGUGAAUUGUAUGUGUUAAAUGUAUACUGUGGAUUGACUGAAAAUAUAUAUGAAUGCAUAUGAAUUGAAGUAGACUUGACGUCGAAUGUAUAUCGUGAUUGUCAUGGAAUAUAUAUAUAAGUGUGUGUAUGUGGACAGGACGAAGAUUGUAGAUUGUGUUUGUAUGAGAUGCAGAUGUGAACUUGUGAUUUUCGUUUAGAUUGGGUGUACGUUACGUUAAAGUGUGACUGUGUGCUGAUGAACUGAGGGGUGUGUUGACUGUAUAGUUUGAUUGACUAAUGUAUUAGCAUAUUAUUGACAGACAUAUGACUGAAGUAAAAUAAGUUGAUUGUUAGGACGAUGAAAGAAAGAACUUUGUGUUUUGAAGUAAUUGAAAGAUGGAUUGAAUGGAAUGAGGGGAAAAUUGUUAGAUUGUAUUGGGAUGUGUACCUUGUAGGUGUCCCACGGGAUCACCAAUUUAUUGUGCACCUUCGGGAGCAUUAGACUGAUAUGUGUUUCUGCAGAACACUAGACUGAUAUGUACGUCCCUCGGGGCGUUAGACUGAGAUGUGUAUCCUACGGGAUCACAAGACUGCGACUGUACAGGGUGUCCCAAUAGAACGUUAACAAUUUAUUUUCCCCUGACGGGACCAGUAGAGGGUCUCUUACUGAGUAUUUAAAUACUCACCCUUCUUAUGUUUAAUUUUCAGGCAAAGGUAAUAAAAGCGGCAAACCGGCGAGGGGCA